GCAAUAGCUCAAAUUUGAAAUCUGGCCCUUUCGGGGUCCGAGUUGUAAUUUGUAGAGAGUGUUUCGGGUGAGACCACGGUCUAAGUCCGUUGGAACACGGUGUCAUAGAGGGUGAGAAUCCCGUCUGUGACCGUGGAUCGAGCCCAUGUGAAGCCUCUUCGACGAGUCGAGUUGUUUGGGAAUGCAGCUCAAAAUGGGUGGUAAAUUUCAUCUAAAGCUAAAUACUGGCUGGAGACCGAUAGCGCACAAGUAGAGUGAUCGAAAGAUGAAAAGCACUUUGGAAAGAGAGUGAAACAGUACGUGAAAUUGUUGAAAGGGAAGCGCUUGCAACCAGACCUGCCCGUAGGCGAUCAGCCGCUGUUCUCAGUGGUGCACUCGCUCUGCGAUCAGGCCAGCAUCGGUUUCGGCGGUCGGAUAAAGGCCUUGGGAAUGUAGCUCCUUUUCGGGGGAGUCUUAUAGCCCUUGGUGCAAUGCGGCCAGCCGGGACCGAGGACCGCGCUUCGGCUAGGAUGCUGGCGUAAUGGUUGUAAGCGACCCGUCUUGAAACACGGACCAAGGAGUCUAACAUCUAUGCGAGUGUUUGGGUGUCAAACCCAUGCGCGGAAUGAAAGUGAACGGAGGUGAGAACCCUUAAGGGCGCAUCAUCGACCGAUCCAGAUGUCUUCGGAUGGAUUUGAGUAUGAGCAUAGCUGUUGGG
RNAcentral lists this ribosomal RNA (697 nucleotides) under Flavopunctelia sp. KCR-2019a. Its description in RNAcentral is "partial large subunit ribosomal RNA". It matches the Rfam family "Eukaryotic large subunit ribosomal RNA", at positions 101 to 813 of the family's 3401-position model. The record is from RNAcentral. Lineage: Eukaryota; Fungi; Ascomycota; Lecanoromycetes; Lecanorales; Parmeliaceae.